AGAGUUUGAUCCUGGCUCAGAUUGAACGCUAGCGGGAUGCCUUACACAUGCAAGUCGAACGGCAGCGCGGGCUUCGGCCUGGCGGCGAGUGGCGAACGGGUGAGUAAUGCAUCGGAACGUACCCAGUAGUGGGGGAUAACCACGCGAAAGCGUGGCUAAUACCGCAUACGCCCUUAGGGGGAAAGGGGGGGGAUCCUUCGGGACCUCUCGCUAUUGGAGCGGCCGAUGUCGGAUUAGCUAGUUGGUGGGGUAAAGGCCUACCAAGGCGACGAUCCGUAGCUGGUUUGAGAGGACGACCAGCCACACUGGGACUGAGACACGGCCCAGACUCCUACGGGAGGCAGCAGUGGGGAAUUUUGGACAAUGGGGGAAACCCUGAUCCAGCCAUCCCGCGUGUGCGAUGAAGGCCUUCGGGUUGUAAAGCACUUUUGGCAGGAAAGAAAUAGGCCUGGCUAAUACC
RNAcentral lists this ribosomal RNA (460 nucleotides) under uncultured bacterium. Its description in RNAcentral is "bacterial SSU rRNA". It matches the Rfam family "Bacterial small subunit ribosomal RNA", at positions 8 to 467 of the family's 1533-position model. The record is from RNAcentral.